UACAGAGGGUGCAAGCGUUAAUCGGAAUUACUGGGCGUAAAGCGUGCGUAGACGGUUAAGUAAGUCGGAUGUGAAAGCCCCGGGCUCAACCCGGGAAUUGCAUUCGAGACUGCGUAGCUAGGGUGCGGAAGAGGGAAGCGGAAUUUCCGGUGUAGCGGUGAAAUGCGCAGAUAUCAGGAGGAACACCGGUGGCGAAGGCGGGUCUCUGGGCCGGUACCGACGCUGAGGAGCGAAAGCGUGGGGAGCGAACAGG
This 253-nucleotide ribosomal RNA is filed under the name uncultured bacterium. Its description in RNAcentral is "partial 16S ribosomal RNA". It matches the Rfam family "Bacterial small subunit ribosomal RNA", at positions 524 to 776 of the family's 1533-position model. The record is from RNAcentral.